Macleaya cordata is the source of this 199-nucleotide microRNA precursor. It matches the Rfam family "MIR159 microRNA precursor family". NCBI's taxonomy places the organism in Eukaryota, Viridiplantae, Streptophyta, Magnoliopsida, Ranunculales, Papaveraceae. The record is from Rfam.
UGGGGGUCGACGGAGCUCCCUUUUAAUCCAACUGAGGAAGGAUGUAGAGGGUUUUAGCGUCUGCUAGUUCAUGAAAACCCUUGGCUGCGUAGGUUUAUGGAUAUGGGUGUGCGCAGGUUAAGGGUGCGCAUGAAUUAGGAGAUGAUCUUUCCUUCUUCUCUCCUUACUUGGAUUGAAGGGAGCUCCAUUAAUGACCUCU